This 209-nucleotide long non-coding RNA is filed under the name Lupinus angustifolius (narrow-leaved blue lupine). RNAcentral's name for it is "long non-coding RNA (LANG_LNC003187)". Lineage: Eukaryota; Viridiplantae; Streptophyta; Magnoliopsida; Fabales; Fabaceae. The record is from RNAcentral.
UUGUCUUCUAUAUGGUUUUCCUCUAUUCUUAUGUUUGUAGAUAGACCUUCAUGCUUGCCUACGUGUCUAGAUGCAGCAAGUAAGUUGUUCAGAUUUUGACUACUAUUGGUGAACUUUGCUAAUUUAUCUUUUAAAUCAUAAAUUUCAACAUUCAAAACAUCACAUUGUUCACAUAUAUGAGUCUCAAUUAACUUAGUAGAGAAAGUACA